AGUGAACGCUGGCGGUAGGCCUAACACAUGCAAGUCGAACGGCAGCACAGUAGGAGCUUGCUCUUACGGGUGGCGAGUGGCGGACGGGUGAGGAAUACAUCGGAAUCUACUUUUUCGUGGGGGAUAACGUAGGGAAACUUACGCUAAUACCGCAUACGACCUACGGGUGAAAGCAUGGGAUCUUCGGACCUUGCGCGAUUGAAUGAGCCGAUGUCGGAUUAGCUAGUUGGCGGGGUAAAGGCCCACCAAGGCGACGAUCCGUAGCUGGUCUGAGAGGAUGAUCAGCCACACUGGAACUGAGACACGGUCCAGACUCCUACGGGAGGCAGCAGUGGGGAAUAUUGGACAAAGGGCGCAAGCCUGAUCCAGCCAUACCGCGUGGGUGAAGAAGGCCUUCGGGUUGUAAAGCCCUUUUGUUGGGAAAGAAAAGCAGCAGGUUAAUACCCCGCUGUUCUGACGUUACCCAAAGAAUAAGCACCGGCUAACUUCGUG
RNAcentral lists this ribosomal RNA (492 nucleotides) under uncultured bacterium. RNAcentral describes it as "partial 16S ribosomal RNA". It matches the Rfam family "Bacterial small subunit ribosomal RNA", at positions 29 to 507 of the family's 1533-position model. The record is from RNAcentral.